CUGCCUACUAAAUAUACUGUGUCCACGACGACCAGCGCGGUGAAUGUCGUUUCGUUUGCUUGAAAGCGUUUAACUGCCAAAAUGUAAUUUUGAGGAGCUGAUUUGAUAUUUCAUCUCAAUGUUUUGAAGUAAUAAUGCGAAAUGCGACCGAAAACUGACGUAACGAAAAACAUUCAAACGAAACACUUCGCGGGACUCGUGAGCCUCGUGAACAGGGCCGUCUUCUUAAUUGGGACAAAAUCUUAAAAUGAUCGUUUCGAUGCGCACGGUACAAGUUUGCCCUGUAAACAUACCUACCUACAUACAUACGUACAAUAUUUAUUUGCUGCAUUUGCAAAACAGAAGUUCAUCCGCAUGCACACAGAACACCGCAUCUACAAGCCAUCCAAUAUCGCCUCACCGGAUUUGUAGCGUACUCAUUGUAUCAAUAACUUGAUGUAAGUAAAUAAAUUAAUUUUUCAAAUCAAAAAGACAAAACACAACACUCCUAAUCCAA
This is a long non-coding RNA of Hermetia illucens (black soldier fly), 496 nucleotides long. RefSeq lists it as uncharacterized. Lineage: Eukaryota; Metazoa; Arthropoda; Insecta; Diptera; Stratiomyidae. The transcript has 3 exons. The record is from RefSeq and is a predicted model, not a curated record.